UACGAAGGGGGCUAGCGUUGCUCGGAAUGACUGGGCGUAAAGGGCGCGUAGGCGGCGCGGUCAGUCAGGCGUGAAAGCCCUGGGCUCAACCUGGGGAUUGCGCUUGAGACGGCUGUGCUUGAGGCCGGAAGAGGGUCGCGGAAUUCCCAGUGUAGAGGUGAAAUUCGUAGAUAUUGGGAAGAACACCGGUGGCGAAGGCGGCGACCUGGUCCGGAUCUGACGCUGAGGCGCGACAGCGUGGGGAGCAAACAGGAUUAGAAACCCCCGUAGUCC
Molecule: ribosomal RNA, 273 nt
Filed under: uncultured bacterium
Lineage: Bacteria
Description: partial 16S ribosomal RNA
Rfam family: Bacterial small subunit ribosomal RNA
Source: RNAcentral